Molecule: ribosomal RNA, 237 nt
Filed under: uncultured bacterium
Lineage: Bacteria
Description: partial 16S ribosomal RNA
Rfam family: Bacterial small subunit ribosomal RNA
Source: RNAcentral
GACGAACCGAGCGAACGUUGUUCGGAAUCACUGGGCUUAAAGGGCGCGUAGGCGGGCUGUCAAGUUUGGGUGAAAUCCCGCGGCUCAACCGUGGAACUGCCUCAAUACUGACGGUCUCGAGGGGGGUAGGGGCGUGCGGAACUGGUGGGUGGAGCGGUGAAAUGCGUUGAUAAUCCACAGGAACUCCGGUGGCGAAGGCGGCACGCUGGACCCUCCCGACGCUGACGGCGCGAAAGC